RNAcentral lists this ribosomal RNA (497 nucleotides) under uncultured bacterium. RNAcentral's name for it is "partial 16S ribosomal RNA". It matches the Rfam family "Bacterial small subunit ribosomal RNA", at positions 28 to 507 of the family's 1533-position model. The record is from RNAcentral.
GAUGAACGCUGGCGGCGUGCCUAACACAUGCAAGUCGAGCGAACGGACGAGAAGUUCGCCUCUCUGAUGUUAGCGGCGGAUGGGUGAGUAAUACGUGGAUAACCUAUCUAUAAGACUGGGAUAACUUCGGGAAACCGGAGCCAACAUCGGACGAUAUUUUGAACCGCAGGGUUCAACAGAGAAAGACGGUCCUGCUGUCACUAAUAGAUGUAACCUCGCUGCAUUAGCUAGUUGGUAAGGUAACGGCUUACCAAGGCGACGAUGCAUAGCCGACCUGAGAGGGUGAUCAGCCACACUGGAACUGAGACACGGUCCAGACUCCUACGGGAGGCAGCAGUAGGGAAUCUUCGACAAUGGGCGAAAGCCUGACGGAGCAACGCCGCGUGAGUGAUGAAGGUCUUCGGAUCGUAAAGCUCUGUUAGUAGGGAAGAACAUAUGUAUAAGUAACUGUGCACGUCUUGACGGUACCUAAUCAAAAAGCCACGGCUAACUACGUG